RNAcentral lists this ribosomal RNA (448 nucleotides) under uncultured bacterium. RNAcentral's name for it is "bacterial SSU rRNA". It matches the Rfam family "Bacterial small subunit ribosomal RNA", at positions 329 to 794 of the family's 1533-position model. The record is from RNAcentral.
UGCCAGACUCCUACGGGAGGCAGCAGUGGGGAAUAUUGCACAAUGGGGGAAACCCUGAUGCAGCGACGCCGCGUGAGCGAUGAAGUAUUUCGGUAUGUAAAGCUCUAUCAGCAGGGAAGAAGAUGACGGUACCUGACUAAGAAGCCCCGGCUAACUACGUGCCAGCAGCCGCGGUAAUACGUAGGGGGCAAGCGUUAUCCGGAUUUACUGGGUGUAAAGGGAGCGUAGACGGCGGCGCAAGCCAGAUGUGAAAGCCCGGGGCUCAACUCCGGGACUGCAUUUGGAACUGUGUGGCUGGAGUGUCGGAGAGGCAGGCGGAAUUCCUAGUGUAGCGGUGAAAUGCGUAGAUAUUAGGAGGAACACCAGUGGCGAAGGCGGCCUGCUGGACGAUGACUGACGUUGAGGCUCGAAAGCGUGGGGAGCAAACAGGAUUAGAUACCCCCGUAAA